Molecule: non-coding RNA, 552 nt
Organism: Biomphalaria pfeifferi
Lineage: Eukaryota; Metazoa; Mollusca; Gastropoda; Planorbidae
Source: the annotation of a GenBank genome assembly
AAAAAAAAAAAAAAGCACUUUAUCAGGCUUGCUCCCCUUGCAUUGAUCAUAUAUCACCUUCUCUUUUUUCUAAAUCAAGCUUUGUUUUAUUUGUCUCCCCCUUAAAAAAGACAUUUUGUGACAAUGUUAACAGGAUGGACUCACCCUAAAGUUUUCACACCAUUGAAAUACUGACCUAGUAUUUAGAAUGAAGGCUACUGUAUAAUUAUGUGAUCUAUAUAACUAAUUGUAUAGCAAAGACUUAAUCUAAGAAAAAGUAAAGUUUGAAUCAUUAGGGUUUCUUCCUAUAGAAAAAAUCAAAUAAACAAAUCAGACUAUAUACUAUAUUAAAUUAAAAGUUUAAACCAUAGAUGAAUCAGAUUCAUGUAAUAUUAUGUGAUACUUAUAAAUUGUUAAAAAAAAACAUAAACCUUUAAGUCAGUAAUAUUCAAUAAAGUUAAUAAUUAAAUGACCCACAGACUUUAUUUGAUCUACAAUCAACUAAAUCAUUAUUACGAUAUUAAAGAUAUUAAAAUAUUUAUAAAUCAUUUAAUAUCAAAUCCUUGAACCAAA